RNAcentral lists this ribosomal RNA (293 nucleotides) under uncultured bacterium. RNAcentral describes it as "partial 16S ribosomal RNA". It matches the Rfam family "Bacterial small subunit ribosomal RNA", at positions 331 to 626 of the family's 1533-position model. The record is from RNAcentral.
CCGAACCUAUGGGGGGCAGCAGUGGGGAAUAUUGCACAAUGGGGGAAACCCUGAUGCAGCGACGCCGCGUGAGUGAAGAAGUAUUUCGGUACGUAAAGCUCUAUCAGCAGGGAAGAAAAAAAGUCCUUUGGACUUUGGACGGUACCUGACUAAGAAGCCCCGGCUAACUACGUGCCAGCAGCCGCGGUAAUACGUUGGGGGCAAGCGUUAUCCGGAUUUACUGGGUGUAAAGGGAGCGUAGACGGCAGCGAAAGUCUGGAGUGAAAUGCCAGGGCCCAACCCCGGAACUGCUU